Molecule: ribosomal RNA, 497 nt
Filed under: uncultured bacterium
Lineage: Bacteria
Description: partial 16S ribosomal RNA
Rfam family: Bacterial small subunit ribosomal RNA
Source: RNAcentral
GACGAACGCUGGCGGCGUGCCUAAUACAUGCAAGUAGAACGCUGAAGAGAGGAGCUUGCUCUUCUUGGAUGAGUUGCGAACGGGUGAGUAACGCGUAGGUAACCUGCCUUGUAGCGGGGGAUAACUAUUGGAAACGAUAGCUAAUACCGCAUAACAAUGGAUGACACAUGUCAUUUAUUUGAAAGGGGCAAUUGCUCCACUACAAGAUGGACCUGCGUUGUAUUAGCUAGUAUGUGAGGUAAUGGCUCACCUAGGCGACGAUACAUAGCCGACCUGAGAGGGUGAUCGGCCACACUGGGACUGAGACACGGCCCAGACUCCUACGGGAGGCAGCAGUAGGGAAUCUUCGGCAAUGGGGGCAACCCUGACCGAGCAACGCCGCGUGAGUGAAGAAGGUUUUCGGAUCGUAAAGCUCUGUUGUAAGUCAAGAACGGGUGUGAGAGUGGAAAGUUCACACUGUGACGGUAGCUUACCAGAAAGAGACGGCUAACUACGUG